This 497-nucleotide ribosomal RNA is filed under the name uncultured bacterium. Its description in RNAcentral is "partial 16S ribosomal RNA". It matches the Rfam family "Bacterial small subunit ribosomal RNA", at positions 28 to 507 of the family's 1533-position model. The record is from RNAcentral.
GAUGAACGCUGGCGGCGUGCCUAAUACAUGCAAGUCGAGCGAACAGACGAGGAGCUUGCUCCUCUGACGUUAGCGGCGGACGGGUGAGUAACACGUGGAUAACCUACCUAUAAGACUGGGAUAACUUCGGGAAACCGGAGCUAAUACCGGAUAAUAUAUUGAACCGCAUGGUUCAAUAGUGAAAGACGGUUUUGCUGUCACUUAUAGAUGGAUCCGCGCCGCAUUAGCUAGUUGGUAAGGUAACGGCUUACCAAGGCGACGAUGCGUAGCCGACCUGAGAGGGUGAUCGGCCACACUGGAACUGAGACACGGUCCAGACUCCUACGGGAAGCAGCAGUAGGGAAUCUUCCGCAAUGGGCGAAAGCUUGACGGAGCAACGCCGCGUGAGUGAUGAAGGUCUUCGGAUCGUAAAACUCUGUUAUUAGGGAAGAACAAAUGUGUAAGUAACUAUGCACGUCUUGACGGUACCUAAUCAGAAAGCCACGGCUAACUACGUG